CCUUCGGGGAACGAUAACGGCGUCGAGCGGCGGACGGGUGAGUAAUGCCUAGGAAAUUGCCUUGAUGUGGGGGAUAACCAUUGGAAACGAUGGCUAAUACCGCAUAAUGCCUACGGGCCAAAGAGGGGGACCUUCGGGCCUCUCGCGUCAAGAUAUGCCUAGGUGGGAUUAGCUAGUUGGUGAGGUAAUGGCUCACCAAGGCGACGAUCCCUAGCUGGUCUGAGAGGAUGAUCAGCCACACUGGAACUGAGACACGGUCCAGACUCCUACGGGAGGCAGCAGUGGGGAAUAUUGCACAAUGGGCGAAAGCCUGAUGCAGCCAUGCCGCGUGUAUGAAGAAGGCCUUCGGGUUGUAAAGUACUUUCAGUUGUGAGGAAGGGGGUGUCGUUAAUAGCGGCAUCUCUUGACGUUAGCAACAGAAGAAGCACCGGCUAACUCCGUGCCAGCAGCCGCGGUAAUACGGAGGGUGCGAGCGUUAAUCGGAAUUACUGGGCGUAAAGCGCAUGCAGGUGGUUCAUUAAGUCAGAUGUGAAAGCCCGGGGCUCAACCUCGGAACUGCAUUUGAAACUGGUGAACUAGAGUACUGUAGAGGGGGGUAGAA
Molecule: ribosomal RNA, 601 nt
Filed under: Vibrio chagasii
Lineage: Bacteria; Pseudomonadati; Pseudomonadota; Gammaproteobacteria; Vibrionales; Vibrionaceae
Description: bacterial SSU rRNA
Rfam family: Bacterial small subunit ribosomal RNA
Source: RNAcentral